This 453-nucleotide ribosomal RNA is filed under the name uncultured bacterium. Its description in RNAcentral is "bacterial SSU rRNA". It matches the Rfam family "Bacterial small subunit ribosomal RNA", at positions 355 to 796 of the family's 1533-position model. The record is from RNAcentral.
UCGAGAAUCUUCGGCAAUGGGCGCAAGCCUGACCGAGCGACGCCGCGUGCGGGAUGAAGGCCCUUGGGUUGUAAACCGCUGUCAGAGGGGAUGAAGUGCGGGUGAGUAAUUCAUAAUCUCAUCCGUUUGACAUAGCCUCAGAGGAAGCACGGGCUAAGUUCGUGCCAGCAGCCGCGGUAAUACGAACUGUGCAAACGUUAUUCGGAAUCACUGGGCUUAAAGGGUGCGUAGGCGGUCAUUUAGGUAGGGUGUGAAAGCCCCCGGCUCAACCGGGGAAUUGCGCCCUAAACCGGGUGACUGGAGUGAGAUAGGGGUGUGUGGAACUUCCGGUGGAGCGGUGAAAUGUGUUGAUAUCGGAAGGAACGCCGGUGGCGAAAGCGACACACUGGGUCUCAACUGACGCUGAGGCACGAAAGCCAGGGGAGCAAACGGGAUUAGAUACCCCCGUAGUCC